GAUGAACGCUGGCGGCGUGCCUAAUACAUGCAAGUCGAGCGAACAGACGAGGAGCUUGCUCCUUUGACGUUAGCGGCGGACGGGUGAGUAACACGUAGGUAACCCACCUAUAAGACUGGGAUAACUUCGGGAAACCGGAGCUAAUACCGGCUAAUAUUUCGAACCGCAUGGUUCGAUAGUGAAAGAUGGCUUUGCUAUCACUUAUAGAUGGACCUGCGCCGUAUUAGCUAGUUGGUAGGGUAACGGCUUACCAAGGCAACGAUACGUAGCCGACCUGAGAGGGUGAUCGGCCACACUGGAACUGAGACACGGUCCAGACUCCUACGGGAGGCAGCAGUAGGGAAUCUUCCGCAAUGGGCGAAAGCCUGACGGAGCAACGCCGCGUGAGUGAUGAAGGUCUUCGGAUCGUAAAACUCUGUUAUUAGGGAAGAACAAACGUGUAAGUAACUGGGCACGUCUUGACGGUACCUAAUCAGAAAGCCACGGCUAACUACGUG
This 497-nucleotide ribosomal RNA is filed under the name uncultured bacterium. Its description in RNAcentral is "partial 16S ribosomal RNA". It matches the Rfam family "Bacterial small subunit ribosomal RNA", at positions 28 to 507 of the family's 1533-position model. The record is from RNAcentral.